UUAAAAUUAAACAUUUUUUGUUUUAGUGCAAUUUAAACUAUGAUUCGAUUAGCAGUUAUACUAGCGACGUGUAAUGUUUUAUACUAAUCAAGAAUUUCGAAAAGAUAAUUUUGUCGCAGUUUAAGUUCGGAGACAAUGAUGUCGCCUUUGUGUUUAUCGAUUUCAACUUCAGUUUGUUCAAAAACGAGAUUUCAUCAAGAGACUACCAUAAAUUGUGCGCCAAGUGCACUGCUACACCCGGAGCUGGAAAAAUGAUUGGCGUUUACAACCGUUUACAGAUGGAGACGAAAGGAGUGGACAACCUGACGAACCUGAUGCGGAAUAUCCCGAACCAUCAUAGCCAUCAGGAUUCGGAACGCUCACAUAUGCCACUCACAAACAUCGGAUAAACCCUUAUGUGAGAACUUCCGUACAUCUGGAUGAAACUUGCUAGCAGCUGCUGAUUGCUGUGCGUGGUUCUUUACAUGAUGAAGUUCCCCAGAGCUCUUUGGUCCUAAUUAACAUUCUGCUUUUGUGGUUCCGCUGUACACUUCAACAGGUUUCGUCGACAAAGAGGAACGCAGGAGCCCGAGAAAAUUAGUAAGAAUUUAUUAUAUAAUUUCCGACAAAUAAAGUUACGGCACUAAUGCGUUUUAAAUUUGUUUUUGUUUUGCUCGCAAAAUAAACAAAAGCUGAAAAAAUACAAUCAUUUCUAACUAAAUCCCAACUAAACCAACUUAAAUAAACUCACGUUAUACUAGCAUUCUGAUAAAUCAAAGUUAUACUAGACGCGUAUAAGUUGUAUAUAUACGGAGCCUGGGGUCAACCAGGCGAAAUGGAAAUAGUGUGGGAUUUAUACUAUUUAGUUUAGAUUUUUCUCUGAGUGU
Long non-coding RNA from Aedes albopictus (Asian tiger mosquito), 866 nucleotides. RefSeq lists it as uncharacterized. Lineage: Eukaryota; Metazoa; Arthropoda; Insecta; Diptera; Culicidae. The record is from RefSeq and is a predicted model, not a curated record. The transcript is spliced from 3 exons.